UUCGAGCCCCGCAUGUGCGUC
RNAcentral lists this unclassified non-coding RNA (21 nucleotides) under Chlamydomonas reinhardtii. RNAcentral's name for it is "small RNA Cre_3815". The record is from RNAcentral. Lineage: Eukaryota; Viridiplantae; Chlorophyta; Chlorophyceae; Chlamydomonadales; Chlamydomonadaceae.